CCGUCGAUAGCUCAGUUGGUAGAGCGGUGGACUGUAGAUGCAUAGGUCCCUGGUUCGAAUCCGGCUCGACGGA
RNAcentral lists this transfer RNA (73 nucleotides) under Dermacentor silvarum. RNAcentral's name for it is "transfer RNA tyrosine (anticodon GUA)". It matches the Rfam family "tRNA". Rfam says of the family: Transfer RNA (tRNA) molecules are approximately 80 nucleotides in length. Their secondary structure includes four short double-helical elements and three loops (D, anti-codon, and T loops). The record is from RNAcentral. Lineage: Eukaryota; Metazoa; Arthropoda; Arachnida; Ixodida; Ixodidae.